AUGAUGAUGAAGAUGACACAGUUCAGAGAUAGUAGAUUCAUCUAUUCAAAUUGCAAACACAUCUACCACUUUCUUAAGCUAAAAUGCAGGUUUGUUAGGCCUAACACGAGUUGGAAGUCAGAGAGUCAUUCAACUAUCAACCAGAUUCAUGCUUUUCUUAUCUGUAUUUGGCAAGUUUGGAGCAGUGGUUGCUGCAAUCCCAUUGUCAAUAGUAGCAGCUGUUUAUUGUGUCCUCUUUGCCUAUAUCGUUUUGCAGUGAUGGACAAUCAUGGAUAG
Non-coding RNA from Vicia faba (fava bean), 276 nucleotides. Lineage: Eukaryota; Viridiplantae; Streptophyta; Magnoliopsida; Fabales; Fabaceae. The record is from the annotation of a GenBank genome assembly.